UACGGGGGGGGCGAGCGUUGUCCGAAGUUACUGGGCGUAAAGCGUGCGUAGGCGGUUUGUUAAGUCCGUUGUGAAAGCCCUGGGCUCAACCUGGGAAUUGCAGUGGAUACUGGCGAGCUAGAGUGCGGUAGAGGAUGGUGGAAUUCCCGGUGUAGCGGUGAAAUGCGUAGAGAUCGGGAGGAACACCCGUGGCGAAGGCGGCCAUCUGGACCAGCACUGACGCUGAGGCACGAAAGCGUGGGGAGCAAACAGGG
Molecule: ribosomal RNA, 254 nt
Filed under: uncultured bacterium
Lineage: Bacteria
Description: partial 16S ribosomal RNA
Rfam family: Bacterial small subunit ribosomal RNA
Source: RNAcentral